Ostrea edulis (European flat oyster) is the source of this 718-nucleotide long non-coding RNA. RefSeq lists it as uncharacterized. The record is from RefSeq and is a predicted model, not a curated record. The transcript has 2 exons. Lineage: Eukaryota; Metazoa; Mollusca; Bivalvia; Ostreida; Ostreidae.
UGGAAUCACGGCAUCAUGGUACACUGAAAUGCGUGUUUUACUGGGUUUUUUUUUUUACUGCAUUACUAGGUAUCACAUACAUACAAAAAGAGACAAAAGAUAGAAAAUUAUUAUUCUGUUUCUAAUUAUAAGGUAUGACAAGUUUUCUAAAUGCUGACAAAAAAGGUAUGGUGGCCAAUACUCAUUUUAUUUGCAAUUUCCUUUCAGAUAUUGGACCUGAUUAUUCAGAAAACUGCAGAUUUUAGGAAGCUGUUUUUGACAGAAGAUUUAGUUUUUUCCAUCUGUAUUGCCACCAACCAUUAUGCUGAGAUGGUCAUAUCUAGGGGGAAAGAUUGUCAUUAUACUUCCCAAGGAAGUUCGCAUCCUCUCACUGAAGAGGAAUUGUACAGAUUUUCGUGCAUCAUCUUAUACAUGUUUGCUGUGAAGUUCCAGUCGAUAGACAGAUAUUGGUCAAUGCAUGCCCCUUUCGGAACAACCCAGUACAGUGUAUCAGGAAUGAUGUCUAGAAAUAAGUUUUAAGAGGUUGAAUAGAAGAACAUUUUUGUUAAAUAUGAUGCAAGUACAUUUAAAUCUAGUGAUUGAAAGUAAGUACUUUAACAUUCGUAUACGUUGAACUUACAGAGGAAAAACGGGUAGUACUUUUUGAUAACAUUUGAUAACGUGCUGUAACUGCUGUUGCUUAGCAACCAAAUAUAUUUGAAUCCAAAAAAUUAAAUUA